This 76-nucleotide transfer RNA is filed under the name Caudoviricetes sp. RNAcentral's name for it is "tRNA-Met". It matches the Rfam family "tRNA". From Rfam's summary of the family: Transfer RNA (tRNA) molecules are approximately 80 nucleotides in length. Their secondary structure includes four short double-helical elements and three loops (D, anti-codon, and T loops). Further hydrogen bonds mediate the characteristic L-shaped molecular structure. tRNAs have two regions of fundamental functional importance: the anti-codon, which is responsible for specific mRNA codon recognition, and the 3' end, to which the tRNAs corresponding amino acid is attached (by aminoacyl-tRNA synthetases). tRNAs cope with the degeneracy of the genetic code in two manners: having more than one tRNA (with a specific anti-codon) for a particular amino acid; and 'wobble' base-pairing, i.e. permitting non-standard base-pairing at the 3rd anti-codon position. The record is from RNAcentral. Lineage: Duplodnaviria; Heunggongvirae; Uroviricota; Caudoviricetes.
UGCAGAGUGUUAGCAGUGGUAGCUUAUCUGGUUCAUGCCCAGAAGGUCGGGAGUUCGAAUCUCUCCUCUGCACCCA